RNAcentral lists this ribosomal RNA (484 nucleotides) under uncultured bacterium. RNAcentral describes it as "partial 16S ribosomal RNA". It matches the Rfam family "Bacterial small subunit ribosomal RNA", at positions 30 to 507 of the family's 1533-position model. The record is from RNAcentral.
AUUGAACGCUGGCGGCAGGCCUAACACAUGCAAGUCGAGCGGAUGAAGGGAGCUUGCUCCUGGAUUCAGCGGCGGACGGGUGAGUAAUGCCUAGGAAUCUGCCUGGUAGUGGGGGAUAACGUCCGGAAACGGGCGCUAAUACCGCAUACGUCCUGAGGGAGAAGGUGGGGGAUCUUCGGACCUCACGCUAUCAGAUGAGCCUAGGUCGGAUUAGCUAGUUGGUGGGGUAAAGGCCUACCAAGGCGGCGAUCCGUAACUGGUCUGAGAGGAUGAUCAGUCACACUGGAACUGAGACACGGUCCAGACUCCUACGGGAGGCAGCAGUGGGGAAUAGUGGACAAUGGGCGAAAGCCUGAUCCAGCCAUGCCGCGUGUGUGAAGAAGGUCUUCGGAUUGUAAAGCACUUUAAGUUGGGAGGAAGGGCAGUAAGUUAAUACCUUGCUGUUUUGACGUUACCAACAGAAUAAGCACCGGCUAACUUCGUG